RNAcentral lists this transfer RNA (84 nucleotides) under Candidatus Karelsulcia muelleri. RNAcentral's name for it is "tRNA-Leu". It matches the Rfam family "tRNA". From Rfam's summary of the family: Transfer RNA (tRNA) molecules are approximately 80 nucleotides in length. Their secondary structure includes four short double-helical elements and three loops (D, anti-codon, and T loops). The record is from RNAcentral. Lineage: Bacteria; Pseudomonadati; Bacteroidota; Flavobacteriia; Flavobacteriales.
GCGGAUAUGGUGAAAUGGGUAGACACGCUAGACUUAGAAUCUAGUAUCUAAAAAGAUAUAAGGGUUCGAAUCCCUUUAUCCGCA